AUGGAGCAUCAUGUUAAGCCCAAGUUCAAUAUGAAAAGCAAAAUUCGUGGUGAUAUAAAGAAGGUAUCAUUCGAAAAUAAAAAGUAGUGUAAAGCAAUAAUUUUGAAGUCAUCCAGCUAACGCACGAGAGAUCGACGGAACCAAACAAAAGAUCAAAUAGGAAGCAUUUUAAAGUUCUCUCCAUUAAACAAUUGAUUAUUUUUGAGUUUUUUUGUAAAUUUAUAAUACAAAAGAAUAUAUAAUACAUCUUUGAAAAAAUCUU
Molecule: long non-coding RNA, 262 nt
Organism: Hydra vulgaris (swiftwater hydra)
Lineage: Eukaryota; Metazoa; Cnidaria; Hydrozoa; Anthoathecata; Hydridae
Source: RefSeq, a predicted model, not a curated record